AUCCCAGCAAAAUGGUUAUCGUUUGUCUGAUUCAUGGGAGGCAGAAAUUAUACAUGGAAAUUCGCUGAUAGCACCUUUUCUCAUUAGAGUGUUGCUAAUUGUAUGUUAUCAGACAUAU
Non-coding RNA from Glycine soja, 118 nucleotides. The record is from Rfam. Lineage: Eukaryota; Viridiplantae; Streptophyta; Magnoliopsida; Fabales; Fabaceae.